RNAcentral lists this ribosomal RNA (460 nucleotides) under uncultured bacterium. RNAcentral describes it as "partial 16S ribosomal RNA". It matches the Rfam family "Bacterial small subunit ribosomal RNA", at positions 338 to 795 of the family's 1533-position model. The record is from RNAcentral.
CCUACGGGAGGCAGCAGUGAGGAAUAUUGGUCAAUGGGCGCUAGCCUGAACCAGCCAAGUCGCGUGUAGGAUGACUGCCCUAUGGGUUGUAAACUUCUUUUAUAUGGGAGUAAAGUGCAGUAUGUAUACUGCUUUUCAUGUACCUUAUGAAUACGGAUCGGCUAACUCCGUGCCAGCCGCCGCGGUAAUACGGAGGAUCCGAGCGUUAUCCGGAUUUAUUGGGUUUAAAGUGAGCGUAGGCGGGUUGUUAAGUCAGAUGUGAAAGUUUGCGGCUCAACCGUGAAAUUGCAGUUGAUACUGGCAUCCUUGAGUACAGUAGAGGUAGGUGGAAUUCGUGGUGUAGCGGGGAAAUGCGUAGAUAUCACGAAGAACACCGAUUGCGAAGGCAGCCUGCUGGACUGUAACUGACGCUGAUGCGCGAAAGUGUGGGGAUCAAACAGGAUUAGAUACCCCUGUAGUC